GAGUUUGAUCAUGGCUCAGGAUGAACGCUAGCGAUAGGCUUAACACAUGCAAGUCGAGGGGCAGCGAGGGUAGCAAUACCUGUCGGCGACCGGCGCACGGGUGAGUAACGCGUAUGUAACCUGCCCGCAACAGGGGGAUAACCCGGCGAAAGUCGGACUAAUACCGCAUAAAACAGGGGUCCCGCAUGGGAAUAUUUGUUAAAGAUUUAUCGGUUGCGGAUGGGCAUGCGUACCAUUAGGUAGUUGGUGAGGUAACGGCUCACCAAGCCAUCGAUGGUUAGGGGUUCUGAGAGGAAGGUCCCCCACACUGGUACUGAGACACGGACCAGACUCCUACGGGAGGCAGCAGUGAGGAAUAUUGGUCAAUGGGCGAGAGCCUGAACCAGCCAAGUCGCGUGAAGGAUGACUGCCCUAUGGGUUGUAAACUUCUUUUACAAGGGAAUAAAAUGAGAUACGUGUAU
This 461-nucleotide ribosomal RNA is filed under the name Tannerella forsythia. RNAcentral's name for it is "bacterial SSU rRNA". It matches the Rfam family "Bacterial small subunit ribosomal RNA", at positions 9 to 465 of the family's 1533-position model. Lineage: Bacteria; Pseudomonadati; Bacteroidota; Bacteroidia; Bacteroidales; Tannerellaceae. The record is from RNAcentral.